CUGGGUCAAUCCCCGCUCCCUCCGGGGUCACUCUGAGGUUUGAUGCGGCUCCUCCUGUUGGUCAACAGAAGGAACCUCUUCCUCUCGAAGUCGCAAGUUGAUAAACCCCAUACACGCUAAGAAGGAAAAAGGAGCGGAGUUUUCUGUACCGUUGGAAGGAUAAUUUCUCAUUUGCAGCUUUUAUUCAAUUUGUUCAUUCUGUAGUUGGAGAGGGAAAAAGAGCCACCCAUGACCCCGACGUGACUUGAACACGCAACCUUCUGAUCUGGAGUCAGACGCGCUACCAUUGCGCCACGAGGUCACAGUAAGGAGCCCUCUUGCACUGGCCACCCAGCAAGGUCACUGAGGAAGAGCCAGUGCCUUUCCCACAGAGGUCAAGAGUCAAGAAUCUACUGGAAGGAAUGCCUCACACCCAAGGAAAUACCAGAGACACUCUUGAAACCCCUGCUCAGAUUUUUGGAUACACCUGUCAUGUCUCAGCCCCUCUUCUGGGAUGUGGAACCAAAACCUGUUUUUCAUUCUAUGAUAUGGGCAUUCCAUUAAACUACAGUGUGGUGUUAAUCAAAUUAAGGUUGUAAUGGAGUCCAACCAAAUCACUCUAAUUGAAUACCCAGAAUAACCAGAGUGUAAACUUCUCUCAUUACUUGAUGGAUGUGUAAAUUGGGGAAUCAUCAUCACAUAAUGAUUUACAAGCCUACUCUGAGUGGUCAGAUCUUUGUCAUUUUAUCAGUUACUUUUCCUGAGGGUCUACUAAUCCCUGGCACUAUAGGUGUGACCCUCAUUUAUUUUAGUUCCUAUACUUUCUAACCCAGCGUGUUUGAUGAAUGUUUCCAGAAGUUCGAUAAGAUUUAGACUAAAUUUCAUCUACAGGCUCGAGAUAUGUCCAACUGGACAAUGGCCUCCACUGAAGGCAUCACAUGGAAUAGAAGCACUGCCCCAAUGCAUCCAUUUUUCUCAGGUGCUCCCCACCCCGCUACUACUGGAUGGAUACAGUGAUGAGGGAGCUACGCAGCAGGUGCUUGGAUGGGAAACCCCGGCCAAGACAUGGGUGGGCCUAGGAGACUCGGGUGUGAAACAUAGCAACCCCAGCCCUGGGCCCUCAUGGUCGAUAAUUGAGGCUAAAGCAGGAAACCCAAGGCCUAAGAUUGGACCUGAGGCUCCUAAGUGGGACAGAUGAGUGCAGCUUGCUCAGCAGGGUGGGUGCUGAGGAAAUGGGGAGGAAUGCCCAGUGUGAGGAGAACAGCCGCAGAGCCCCCUCUCUGCACAAACUUGGUCUGUUGUCAUACUGGAACCCAGCUUUUAUCUGAGCUGCACGCCCAUCUGGCCAAUCCCAGCUAAGGCUCUGCAUGUGUCACAAUGGGACGUCUGUGACAUCAUCAGUCUCCUUCGCAGGUUGCUGUAUCCACAGAAGUGUCUCGUACCAUUUCCUGCCCCAGAGCCAUAUCCCACGACUGUCCUUGCCAUUCCAGCUCUGGCCUCCAUCUGCGCCAUACUCUGCUCUGUAGAAUCAGGUGCCCCACUCUACAGAGAUGCACUUGGGGCCCAGGGACAAUGACUUACCUAGAGUCACCUUGGCAGUUGGAAGUGAAGAAAUUUCCCAUACAUGCUGUCUACAGGAGCUGCUGUGUCCAAGAGGUGCUGUGUCCAAGAAGACAUAGGAAUGAAAGUGAGCACCGAUAACCAAGCACAAGGUGUUGGGACGGUUUUUCCUGCAGGCCCCCCCCCCCAAGAGCUCAAUCUCCCUCCUUAUCGGAGCUCCAUCCCCCUCCUUACCGAAUCUCCAUCACCCUCCUCCUCCCAUACCUUAUCCGAGAUGUCUCCCGCGGGCACCACAGUUAGAGGCCUUCCUGUCAAAACAAAUGUUGGAGAAACACAGCUGCUAGGGACAGAUCUCCCUGGCACCCCAGCCAGAUUCCCCCCCCCCAUCCUGGAGGCCUAAACAUAUAAAACAAAGCACCUGAUCUCAGUUAGUGCUCAGUUCUUUGGGAACAAUCCCACUGAGCCCGCUGGUGUAAUAAAGCUGUGUUCUCCCUGAUCUCUGCGAGCCGCUUGAGUCUCUCGUUCCUCGUCAUUUCUUCCGCAACAACGGGAGCUUGGAGUCUUUGUU
Rhinolophus ferrumequinum (greater horseshoe bat) is the source of this 2107-nucleotide long non-coding RNA. RefSeq lists it as uncharacterized. The transcript is spliced from 4 exons. The record is from RefSeq and is a predicted model, not a curated record. NCBI's taxonomy places the organism in Eukaryota, Metazoa, Chordata, Mammalia, Chiroptera, Rhinolophidae.